GCGCAGCAGUCGCGAAACCUUCGCAAUGCGGGAAACCGCGACGAGGGGACUCCCAGUGCCUACGCUCAGCGUAGGCUGUUCCCGAGCCUAGAAAGCUCGGGGAGUAAGGGCUGGGUAAGACGGGUGCCAGCCGCCGCGGUAAUACCCGCAGCCCGAGUGGUGGCCACUAUUAUUGGGCCUAAAGCGUCCGUAGCCGGCCCGGUAAAUGCCUGGGUAAAUCGUGAGGCCUAACCUCACGAAUUCCGGGUAGACUGCCGGGCUAGGGGACCGGAGGAGGGAGAGGGUACUCCAGGGGUAGGGGUGAAAUCCUGUAAUCCCUGGAGGACCACCGGUGGCGAAGGCGCUCUCCUAGGACGGGUCCGACGGUGAGGGACGAAAGCCAGGGGAGCGAACCGGAUUAGAUACCCCUGUAGU
RNAcentral lists this ribosomal RNA (414 nucleotides) under uncultured microorganism. RNAcentral's name for it is "bacterial SSU rRNA". It matches the Rfam family "Archaeal small subunit ribosomal RNA", at positions 330 to 745 of the family's 1478-position model. The record is from RNAcentral.